CACAUGCAAGUCGCACGAGAAAGGGCUUCGGCCCCGGUAAAGUGGCGCACGGGUGAGUAACACGUGGGUAAUCUGCCUUCGAGCGGGGGAUAACAUUCCGAAAGGAGUGCUAAUACCGCAUAAGACCACGCCCUCGAAAGAGGAAGCGGUCAAAGCUGGCCUCUAUAUAUAAGCUAGCACUUGAGGAUGAGCCCGCGGUGCAUCAGCUAGUUGGUGAGGUAAUGGCUCACCAAGGCUAAGACGCAUAGCUGGUCUGAGAGGAUGAUCAGCCACACUGGAACUGAGACACGGUCCAGACUCCUACGGGAGGCAGCAGUGGGGAAUCUUGCGCAAUGGGGGAAACCCUGACGCAGCGACGCCGCGUGAGUGAUGAAGGCCUUCGGGUUGUAAAGCUCUGUGGGGAGAGACGAAUAAGUGCAGCCUAAUACGUUGCAUGAUGACGGUAUCUCCUUAGCAAGCACCGGCUAACUCUGUGCCAGCCGCCGCGGUAAUAC
RNAcentral lists this ribosomal RNA (494 nucleotides) under uncultured bacterium. Its description in RNAcentral is "bacterial SSU rRNA". It matches the Rfam family "Bacterial small subunit ribosomal RNA", at positions 52 to 526 of the family's 1533-position model. The record is from RNAcentral.